GGGGUUGUAAGGUUAUCUACAUCAUAAUACAAAACGUUAGACAUUACUAUUGUGACUUUGAAAAUAUAAUUGCAAAGAGUCAAAUUCUUCCAUUUUCUUUCGCUUUAGCAGUGUAAUUCUACUGUUAUAAACGAAAAAAUCAGUAUAGGUAUCUAUCUCUGUAUUGAUUCUUAAAUAUAGAUGCUCUUAAACUAACUUUAAGUUAAGUAAUAUGUUUUGUAUAAUAAUAUAAGUAAAACAAAAAGUCUUAGCAUGUAUUAUUUUGGACGUGGGUUCAACUCCCACCAACUCCA
RNAcentral lists this non-coding RNA (293 nucleotides) under Riverina rivularis. The record is from RNAcentral. Lineage: Eukaryota; Rhodophyta; Florideophyceae; Hildenbrandiales; Hildenbrandiaceae.